Eurytemora carolleeae is the source of this 1108-nucleotide long non-coding RNA. RefSeq lists it as uncharacterized. NCBI's taxonomy places the organism in Eukaryota, Metazoa, Arthropoda, Copepoda, Calanoida, Temoridae. The transcript is spliced from 2 exons. The record is from RefSeq and is a predicted model, not a curated record.
ACUCUAUAGAAUGAGUGAAGAAAGUAGGUGGAUAUGAACCACAACAAUUUCCUCGUAAGCUAAAUAUUUGAAUCAACAUUUUUUUUCAUUUUUCUUUUAGCUUUCAUUAUUUUAAGACUUCUAAAUUGCGUUUUUAAUAAUCCGGCAAUGUUGUGUUGAAGAAAUUUUAAGCUUUUUAAAAAGGAUAAAACCAAUUUUUGCUAAGAUUCAAAUUCUCCUCUGUCCGAAUAAAAACCUGCUCGGUUGACAAUUUACCUGUAGUUAUAAAUAAACACUAAUUUGGCAGAUUACAACAAAGUUCAGCCAGCAACUAAACAUGUAAUUUUUGUCUUUAAUUUAAUUUAAAAGUUAGUUACAGUCGUCAUGUUCUGCGUAACAAAUAUUGUGUAGCUGACGAAGGUCGGACGACACAAAUUUCCAAGUAUGGUAUGGAGUUUAAAAAGUUGUUAGUGGCUCAUGGUCGCCUGGCGCCUACUCUCCUCGCUCGGGGAGAAUUAUUUUUUAUUUUAUUAACAUGCUGUUGAGUUGAUGUAGUUGACAAUCUCGUGGUCAAUUAACUUAAUUGUAAUCUCAAGGAUUUAGAUCAGGGGCGUAUUCAGGAGUUUGUCCCAUUGUCAUCCUUUCCAUAUACGCCCCUGAUUUCAACAAAGAAAAGCCUCUUUAAAGGUCUGUGAAAAUAUUUUUUUUGAAAUGCAAGCAAUCGAAUUUUCUGAAAUUCCAAAAUUAAUAUACUGCUAAAGGCCCAGAAUAUGAAGCCAUAAAGCCUUGCAGGAGAGUGGGGGAAGGUGGCCUUGUCCCCCUUCUUCCAUGCCACAUUAAGAUUUGAAUGCACCAAAUUUACCAUCUAAAAAAAGUAUUAAUUGACGAGAAAAAUGUUGAGGCAUAGAUGACCGAAUGGUUGUGGCUCAUGGCUGCCGGAAGACAAAAGAGCUAAUAUGUGGCAUGGAAGGUAAAAGUUGUGGAUCAUGGCCGCCUGUAUUCCCCCGCUCUUUAGGGUUGACUAUUAAUUCUACUAAAUUUUAAUACCAAAUUUGAAAAUGUGAUUAAAUAUUGUUGCAGGGUUCUUUAUAUUUCAUAUAAUCGUAAUAAAUUAAUGCUACCUGUUAAA